CAGUCGUACCUUCGGGUAAUCAGCCUUUCGAGUGCGAUUCUGUGGAGUGUGAGGAGCUAAACACCUUCAUGCCUGCAUAUUCGUGCUCUUGGGUGUACUUGUCCGUGUGGUGGGUUAACAUCAAUUUCGGUCGUCAUAAAAUGAUUGGAGGAAUGUAGCUUUGAUCUCGUAUCGAAGUGUUAUAGACUCUGGUAGAUGUGACGAUUGGGAUUGAGGAUUGCAACGGAUACCCUUCGGGGCUACCUGUCUGGUCUCUGAUCGUUGCUCCGGUGCCGAAGCGUGCUUACGGUCA
This 292-nucleotide ribosomal RNA is filed under the name Glomus sp. (unid). Lineage: Eukaryota; Fungi; Glomeromycota; Glomeromycetes; Glomerales; Glomeraceae. The record is from RNAcentral.